Long non-coding RNA from Mauremys reevesii (Reeves's turtle), 471 nucleotides. RefSeq lists it as uncharacterized. Lineage: Eukaryota; Metazoa; Chordata; Testudines; Geoemydidae. The transcript is spliced from 3 exons. The record is from RefSeq and is a predicted model, not a curated record.
GCAGCUCCUCACAGCACGUGGGCAGGAAUUAAAGGCUCUGUUUCUAUUUUCAGGUGAAUUGAAGGUCUUACCAUUCAAGUGAGUUUGAUAAGAGGCUGCUGCAUUUAAGGAAAAAAGACAGGGAGAAAAACUGUGGAUGACCUUACUUGUCAUGGGAGAGUGUCGAAUGCAGACUCAGGACAAAUCUGAAUCAAGUCAGCAGACCAUCAGACAUGGAGAUGAGAGAAAUGCAGCCGAUUUGAACGUUGAGGGUGUGAAAACUUCAGGAAGUUGCUAGAAGAUCUGGGAUAUCUACAGAAAGGAAACAAGCAAAAUUCAUCACUGCUACCAAGAGGUAAGGAACUCACCUCAUAAUUGAGAAAUUGAUGGAUCUGGAUUCCCUUCAGGUUAAAGAAAUGCAGCUGAUCUGAUCUCCUGGGGACUGCGGAUUAUAAGCAGUCAUAUUACUGAAGAACAAACUAACGCAUAGUG